ACGAAACCCCAUAAUGGCAGAUGGGCUCCAGGUGUGCAGUUGAUGACGUGCCAGGGGUGGAUCGAGACCCAGUGAACCUCAGGAUGGGCUUCCCAAGUCUGUUAGCACAUCCUCGGGUUAUCAUCUGCUACACAGCAUACAGCUGGAAUGCCAAGCUUCGACACAAAGCGACACACUAGAGAGAUAGACUGAUGACUUGGAUUUAAUGGAGGAUUGCAGAAACCAGGAGCUGGAAACGGAGAGGGAUAAAGUUCACACCACAGGAGCUGAUCGUAACGGGAAAACACAAGGGACAACUGGAACUGGAGAAGAACAUAAGAGAGCAGACGACAGCCAGUUGACCCCUGGACAAAGAAGUGCACUGUCCGGAGCAUGGGGCUCUGAUCUUAAGCAGUACAGAUGAACAGAAAGACUUCCUCAAGUGAACAGUCUUCUUUAUUAAGACCUCAGGACAACCGAAACAGGUAUUACAGGAGAGGCUUUCCUUCCACAUCCGUGCUUUCCAAAGCUUUAGUGAACACAAUACGGCUUGGAUUACUGCAAUUUGGCAGCACAAUGGAGAAAGAAG
This is a long non-coding RNA of Puntigrus tetrazona (Sumatra barb), 568 nucleotides long. RefSeq lists it as uncharacterized. The transcript has 6 exons. NCBI's taxonomy places the organism in Eukaryota, Metazoa, Chordata, Actinopteri, Cypriniformes, Cyprinidae. The record is from RefSeq and is a predicted model, not a curated record.